AUAGAAGCCCAUCUCCUACUGUAAAUAACCUACACGCUGUGUGUGUGUGUAGCCAGCCAGCCAGGUAGAAAAAUGGCAGAAAAAUAAAAAAGACGGACAUCAGAGUAUUUUUCAGUACACCAAAACGCAAAGCAGAGCAGGCAACAGAUGGCACACAGACAGCAGAGUUGGGGACAGAUAUGCAGGGACAGAUAUGCAGAGACAGGGAGUCUCAGGUAAGUUUGUUGAGUCUUUGUCUGGCAACAUUAUGAAAGGUUCUCCAUUUUUUUAACUUGUAAAAUAGGAACAUAAUUGGAAAAUGCCAUGGAUGCCCCAACUCUUAACUUUAACAAAUCUUAGUUCAGUCACCAGUUUAAGGCAAUGGUAUUGCUGUUGUGAUUAGUUGUGUAGUUUUGGGUACCGGUAGUUAGGAGUACGGCAAACACCUUAUUUCUUUGGUUCCUCAAUAUACAUUUACCAUAUUACAAUGUAGGCUAUGUGUUACAGCACUACUUUUGGUGUCC
RNAcentral lists this long non-coding RNA (503 nucleotides) under Salmo salar (Atlantic salmon). RNAcentral's name for it is "lncRNA (ENSSSAG00000104837.1)". The record is from RNAcentral. Lineage: Eukaryota; Metazoa; Chordata; Actinopteri; Salmoniformes; Salmonidae.